GACGAACGCUGGCGGCGUGCUUAACACAUGCAAGUCGAACGGAAAGGCCCUGCUUUUGUGGGGUGCUCGAGUGGCGAACGGGUGAGUAACACGUGAGUAACCUGCCCUUGACUUUGGGAUAACUUCAGGAAACUGGGGCUAAUACCGGAUAGGAGCUCCUGCUGCAUGGUGGGGGUUGGAAAGUUUCGGCGGUUGGGGAUGGACUCGCGGGUUAUCAGCUUGUUGGUGGGGUAGUUGAUUACCAAGGCUUUGAAGGGUAGCCGGCCUGAGAGGGUGACCGGCCACAUUGGGCCUGAGAGACGGCCCAGACUCCUACGGGAGGCAGCAGUGGGGAAUAUUGCACAAUGGGCGGAAGCCUGAUGCAGCAACGCCGCGUGCGGGAUGACGGCCUUCGGGUUGUAAACCGCUUUCGCAUGUGACGAAGCGUGAGUGACGGUAAUGGGUAAAGAAGCACCGGCUAACUACGUG
This 468-nucleotide ribosomal RNA is filed under the name uncultured bacterium. Its description in RNAcentral is "partial 16S ribosomal RNA". It matches the Rfam family "Bacterial small subunit ribosomal RNA", at positions 28 to 507 of the family's 1533-position model. The record is from RNAcentral.